GAACGUUGGCGGCGUGGAUUAGGCAUGCAAGUCGGGGGAAUCCCAGCAAUGGGGGAACCGGCGUAAGGGGCAGUAAGGCAUGGGUACCUACCUUUGGGUUCGGGAUAGCCAUCAGAGAUGGUGGGUAAUACCGGAUGACGUCGUGAGACCAAAGAUUUAUCGCCCGAAGAGGGGCCCAUGUGAUAUUAGCUAGUUGGUGAGGUAACGGCUCACCAAGGCGAAGAUGUCUAGCGGGUGUGAGAGCACGACCCGCGCCACUCGCACUGAGACACUGGCGAGACACCUACGGGUGGCUGCAGUCGAGGAUCUUCGGCAAUGAGCGCAAGCUUGACCGAGCGACGCCGCGUGAGCGAUGAAGGCCUUCGGGUUGUAAAGCUCUUUAGUGGGGGAGAAAAGCCCGCAAGGGUGUGAUCUAUCCCAAAAAUAAGCACGGGCUAAGUUCGUGCCAGCAGCCGCCGUAACAC
RNAcentral lists this ribosomal RNA (464 nucleotides) under uncultured bacterium. RNAcentral describes it as "bacterial SSU rRNA". It matches the Rfam family "Bacterial small subunit ribosomal RNA", at positions 31 to 526 of the family's 1533-position model. The record is from RNAcentral.